This 501-nucleotide ribosomal RNA is filed under the name uncultured bacterium. Its description in RNAcentral is "partial 16S ribosomal RNA". It matches the Rfam family "Bacterial small subunit ribosomal RNA", at positions 29 to 523 of the family's 1533-position model. The record is from RNAcentral.
AUUGAACGCUGGCGGCAUGCCUUACACAUGCAAGUCGAACGGCAGCACGGGUGCUUGCACCUGGUGGCGAGUGGCGAACGGGUGAGUAAUACAUCGGAACGUACCUUAUCGUGGGGGAUAACGCAGCGAAAGCUGUGCUAAUACCGCAUACGCCCUGAGGGGGAAAGCGGGGGAUCGAAAGACCUCGCGCGAUUAGAGCGGCCGAUGCCUGAUUAGCUUGUUGGUGGGGUAAAAGCCCACCAAGGCGACGAUCAGUAGCUGGUCUGAGAGGACGAUCAGCCAGACUGGGACUGAGACACGGCCCAGACUCCUACGGGAGGCAGCAGUGGGGAAUUUUGGACAAUGGGGGCAACCCUGAUCAAGCAAUGCCGCGUGAGUGAAGAAGGCCUUCGGGUUGUAAAGCUCUUUUGUCAGGGAAGAAACACCGGCUCUAACACAGUCCGGGAAUGACGGUACCUGAAGAAUAAGCACCGGCUAACUACGUGCCAGCCGCCGCAGUAA